This 18-nucleotide small nuclear RNA is filed under the name Arabidopsis thaliana (thale cress). Its description in RNAcentral is "snRNA_10421". The record is from RNAcentral. Lineage: Eukaryota; Viridiplantae; Streptophyta; Magnoliopsida; Brassicales; Brassicaceae.
AGGCGCUGUCUACGAGUC